AUGUUCAGUAACAAGCAAGUCUCCACUGUUGGCGUCGAUCUUGGAAUAGAAAGAGUUUUCACAAUCAUUGAGCAACAGGAGAAAGAAAAUAACCAGGUUAUCCGGGCUAGCGUGACAGAGGUUUUAGUGUCGAUUCUAGGGAAGGACCUUAUAUUGGCCGCCGAGCUUGCGAAUGAGUUAUGGAGUGCUGGGAUAAAGGCAGAGUUCAAGCUCACCACCAGGGAGCUGGACCACAUAAAAGAAAAGGAGAGGAAGGAGAUGGAUGAGCAAGGACCAGAAGGACCAGAGGAAGAAGGGCAAGGGAGAUGGGGCGAUGUGCAUGUCCUUGCAGGGGGAAAUUCUAAUUUCUUUACAGCGGUGUUUGAACAAAAUGGCAUAUUCCGUGGGCUGGAUGAUAGAAGGACAUUUUGUUGA
This 414-nucleotide ribosomal RNA is filed under the name Triticum aestivum (bread wheat). RNAcentral describes it as "partial small subunit ribosomal RNA". Lineage: Eukaryota; Viridiplantae; Streptophyta; Magnoliopsida; Poales; Poaceae. The record is from RNAcentral.